Molecule: ribosomal RNA, 1308 nt
Filed under: uncultured bacterium
Lineage: Bacteria
Description: bacterial SSU rRNA
Rfam family: Bacterial small subunit ribosomal RNA
Source: RNAcentral
UAGUGGCGGACGGGUGAGUAUCGCGUGGGUAACCUGCCCAUAGGUGGGGAAUAACAGUUGGAAACGACUGCUAAUACCGCAUAAGCUGAGCAAUCAGUAAAGGAGGCUAACGCUUCCGCUUAUGGAUGGGCCCGCGUCUGAUUAGCUGGUUGGUGGGGUAAUGGCCUACCAAGGCAACGAUCAGUAGCCGGCCUGAGAGGGUGGACGGCCACACUGGGACUGAGACACGGCCCAGACUCCUACGGGAGGCAGCAGUGGGGAAUAUUGCGCAAUGGGGGAAACCCUGACGCAGCGACGCCGCGUGAGCGAAGAAGGCCUUAGGGUCGUAAAGCUCUGUUUUAAGGGACGAAUAUCUUCAGUAGUAACUGACUGAGGAAUGACGGUACCUUAAGAGAAAGCCCCGGCUAACUACGUGCCAGCAGCCGCGGUAAGACGUAGGGGGCGAGCGUUGUCCGGAAUUACUGAGCGUAAAGAGCACGUAGGCGGGAUUUUAAGUCAGGUGUGAAAGACCGUGGCUCAACCACGGGGUUGCACAUGAAACUGGAAUUCUUGAGGGCAGGAGAGGAAAGUGGAAUUCCUGGUGUAGCGGUGAAAUGCGUAGAAAUCAGGAGGAACACCGGUGGCGAAGGCGACUUUCUGGACUGACCCUGACGCUGAGGUGCGAAAGCGUGGGUAGCAAACAGGAUUAGAUACCCUGGUAGUCCACGCUGUAAACGAUGGAUAAUAGGUGUGGGAGGGAUCGACCCCUUCCGUGCCGCAGCAAACGCAAUAAGUAUCCCGCCUGGGGGGUACGGUCGCAAGGAUGAAACUCAAAAGGAAUUGACGGGGGCCCGCACAAGCGGUGGAGCAUGUGGUUUAAUUCGAUGCAACGCGAAGAACCUUACCAGGUCUUGACAUCCAAAGAAUCCUGAUGAAAGUCGGGAGUGCCUUAGGGAGCUUUGAGACAGGUGGUGCAUGGUUGUCGUCAGCUCGUGUCGUGAGAUGUUGGGUUAAGUCCCGCAACGAGCGCAACCCUUGCUAUUAGUUGCUAACAUUCAGAUGAGCACUCUAAUGGGACUGCCCGUGACAAGCGGGAGGAAGGUGGGGAUGACGUCAAAUCAUCAUGCCCUUUAUGAUCUGGGCUACACACGUGCUACAAUGGAUGGUACAGAGAGCAGCGAGACAGUGAUGUGGAGCGAAUCUCAAAAAGCCAUUCUCAGUUCGGAUUGCAGGCUGCAACUCGCCUGCAUGAAGUCGGAAUCGCUAGUAAUCGCGGAUCAGCAUGUCGCGGUGAAUGCGUUCCCGGGCCUUGUACAAACGCGCCCGUCA